UACGUAGGGAGCAAGCGUUGUCCGGAAUCAUUGGGCGUAAAGAGCUCGUAGGCGGUUCGGCAAGUCACGUGUGAAAUCUCCACGCUUAACGUGGAGGCGCCACGUGAAACUGCCGUGACUCGAGUCCGGUAGGGGAGUGUGGAAUUCCCGGUGUAGCGGUGAAAUGCGCAGAUAUCGGGAGGAACACCAGUAGCGAAGGCGGCACUCUGGGCCGGUACUGACGCUGAGGAGCGAAAGCGUGGGGAGCGAACAGG
RNAcentral lists this ribosomal RNA (254 nucleotides) under uncultured bacterium. RNAcentral describes it as "partial 16S ribosomal RNA". It matches the Rfam family "Bacterial small subunit ribosomal RNA", at positions 524 to 776 of the family's 1533-position model. The record is from RNAcentral.